UAAAGCUAAUUUAUAUAUAUUAUAAAUUUAAGUUAAUGGGCAAUGCUGUCCACAAAUUUAGUCUAAUUUAUAUGACAAUCGAUUUGAAUAUUUUGCGUGCGGUACAAAGGUCACAGACCCGCAGCUGUCAUUUGUAUCAAAGGUCAUCUUUGUAUUGGCAAAGCGUACACGUGCACAUCUCAUGACCAAUUAUCUUUCAGCCAAUCGAAAUAUAUCUUUGAUGGCAUCAAAACAUGUAACCAAUCAUAAUUCGGUUAAGCCGGUAAAAUAGACCAAAUACACCUGAAAGAGAUCACUUGUUUCAAAGUCUUAACAAAGUAAUGUUCCAAAGCUACUGUAACAUUUUCAGAUAAACCGCGGGCGAAAUGAAAAUUUAACUACCUCGGAUGAUCAAGAAUUGCGCGGGGCAUCGCAAGAAUUAAAUAACACGAUUUAACACUACAAAGAUGGAUUUGAUGUUGGAAUCGAUAUUACGAUAUAUGUAGCGUAGGUUAAAGUGGUUAAAGUGAGACGUUAUGAACUUAUGGCAAACAGUAUUCAACGGCGCAAGCACGUGUAUUUUAUAUUUUUCUCAUUGACAAUGGUCAAAGGAAUAUGUUGCCAGAUUCGUUCAAGUAGUGACAAUUCGACGUUUAGCAGUAACAGAAACAGAAGCUGGCGCUGGGGAAUUAUAAAAGAACGAGUCGCCAAGCGCACUACAGCUGGUCCGUAUGCAAUAUCAUAUCAUGUUUGCGCGCUUGUCAAUUACGGGUAUCGUAAGUAAAAGUUUGCUUCAGAUUUCGUUUAAAACCAAGCAAAAAAUUGUAAAAUUCGAUCUGGUAUAAAAUUCUGGCAUAGGCUAACAUUUGCCAGAACGAUAUAUUUUCUGUUUGUAAUCCAAUAGAGUUAUAUUUCACUGUGAAUUUGAUCUUCGAAUCGACUCAAAGUUCAAAGUUUAAGCGCAAUCAAUUUUAGAGUACUCAUGGUAUAUUUGGGAAUGCGUUUUCAUCCUAACCUAAUUUUAUAAUUCCUUUUGUUAAAAUCCAGUAGUGGUUUGAACUACAUAACGUAUAACUGAGCAAAGGCUUAGAAAGAGAGCCCAUAUAUGCAAGAAAUAGUAAUUAUAAAUUUCCACGCUGUGUAGAUGGAUGAUUUGGGAGCAUUUUAAUUUAAAAUAAUAACUCGAAAGUCAGUUUUUACACACAUUUGCCAUUUGGCACUAUAUAUCAUAUAUUAUGUUUGUUUACCUAUAAUAUACUAUUACUGUAUAAUCUAGCUAUAAUUCUGUUUCAACUGAGUUUGAACUUAAUUUCCACCCAACCUCGUACCCAGAGUUUGGUCAACCUUUGACGCCUUUGUGCUUUUCAAUGGAACAAGACGCCUGCUCAGGCGUUCACACUUCCCUCAAAAUAACGACAGUGUGAUGCCUGGAAUAUGAGAGCAGUCACAUCAGCAAUAUUGCUCUUUCUCGAGGGCAAAAAUUUAGCUAUUGCUACCAAUACAAUUUAGACCAGCUAUGAAAC
Non-coding RNA from Paramuricea clavata, 1502 nucleotides. The record is from the annotation of a GenBank genome assembly. Lineage: Eukaryota; Metazoa; Cnidaria; Anthozoa; Malacalcyonacea; Plexauridae.